This is a non-coding RNA of Microcebus murinus (gray mouse lemur), 1178 nucleotides long. NCBI's taxonomy places the organism in Eukaryota, Metazoa, Chordata, Mammalia, Primates, Cheirogaleidae. The record is from RefSeq and is a predicted model, not a curated record.
GUCGGGGGUUUAUACCGACCUGCCAGUUGCCACGAGGUUUCCGGAUUCUUCUUGUCUCUCCUCUCUUUCUCUUUCCCUUUCCUGGCUUCCGCAGCGGGAAGCCACUUGCCGAUUCCUCCUCAAACAUCCAACAGCCAAACGGUUCCCUUGAGCACAGCAAGUAGCUCAGAGGAGAUGAUCCUGUUUUGGAAACAUGUGAAUUCUGUGAUUCAACUCUUAAUACAUUACUAAGCAACCACUGAAUAAAGAGUAGCCAGAAGGAAUUACAAUCUCAUAGGCACUGAUAUAGCAGUGCUAAGGAGGAGACGACAUAACUCAGCUUUAGAUUGCACCCUCAAGAAAUCAUGUUGCAUUUCACAACAGGGGGAAGAGUUUCAGGAGAUUCCACUUGUUUUUUCCGACUAGCGUAACUUUUACAACACAUGUGCUCUUGAACAUCGUGAGGAGGAUGCUCUGUGGCUAGCCUGUGUUUUGGUGCAGGCUUUGGAAAUUGGAAGGAAAGAUGUGUGGCAGUGGGCAGAAAUGUCUGUUCGGAUCCUUUGUACAUUUUUUAUUUGGAUAUUUUAUCUUUCUAAUGUGGAGCUCUCUCAAGACAACAUAUAGGCCUUACAGAGGUUUUUCUUUGCUCCUUUGAGUUUUCUCUGCUUACACUGCCAGCAGUAAAUGUGAUAAGGACCACAGGUGGUCUGAUCUAGUCUUCUCAGAAAUAAGGAUGUCAUCCAAUCCUAUCCAUUUGGGAAUACACAGCAUAAAAGACCUGCUAAGGAAGGCAACUCAAAGGAAUAUUUAGAGAUUAAGAAAUUUGUCUGCUGUAUUACCAUCCACUGAUCAAUGUACUAUCUGAAAACAACAAAGGAGGCAUUACCUUGUGCCUUCCAUAUAUGUUAAGUGAGGGAAAGCAAAAUUAAGAUUACUCUAAUUGCUCUGAGGUAAAAUUAGUGAGUGGAUUCCACUCAAAAGAACUUAAACUAAAUAAUCCCAAACUGAUGAAAUAGCAAAUCACAGUUUUAUUUCUCAUAUUAUAAAGACUUAUCCCACAAAGAAAUUUAUAAAUGAUAUUUUUAUCUGAAAACAAACAUUGACAUUUUUUGCAUCUAACUCACUUUGUUGGAAAACAAUAGAAAAAUACAUGCAUGGUUAAUAUAUUAAAGAGUGCUAUUAAGUGGAAAGCAAUAAAU